RNAcentral lists this ribosomal RNA (482 nucleotides) under uncultured bacterium. Its description in RNAcentral is "partial 16S ribosomal RNA". It matches the Rfam family "Bacterial small subunit ribosomal RNA", at positions 28 to 507 of the family's 1533-position model. The record is from RNAcentral.
GACGAACGCUGGCGGCGUGCUUAACACAUGCAAGUCGAACGAUGAAGAAGAGAAACGCGAACUUCGGUUCAAAUUUCACUUCGGAUUAGUGGCAGACGGGUGAGUAACGCGUGAGCAACCUACCUCUUACAAAGGGAUAGCCUCGGGAAACCGUGAUUAAUACCAUAUGACACAUUCAUAAGGCAUCUUAAGAAUGUUAAAGCUACGGCGGUAAGAGAUGGGCUCGCGUCCCAUUAGCUAGUUGGUGAGGUAACGGCCCACCAAGGCGACGAUGGGUAACCGGCCUGAGAGGGUGAACGGUCACAUUGGAACUGAGACACGGUCCAAACUUCUACGGGAAGCAGCAGUGGGGAAUAUUGCACAAUGGAGGGAACUCUGAUGCAGCGACGCCGCGUGAGCGAUGAAGGAAUUCGUUUCGUAAAGCUCUGUUCUAUGGGAAGAAAAGGACUGUACCAUAGGAGAAAGCCCCGGCUAAAUACGUG